CCUACGGGAGGCAGCAGUGGGGAAUAUUGGGCAAUGGGCGCAAGCCUGACCCAGCAACGCCGCGUGAAGGAAGAAGGCUUUCGGGUUGUAAACUUCUUUUGUCAGGGAAGAGUAGAAGAUGGUACCUGACGAAUAAGCCACGGCUAACUACGUGCCAGCAGCCGCGGUAAUACGGAGGAUUCAAGCGUUAUCCGGAUUUAUUGGGUUUAAAGGGUGCGUAGGCGGUCGGAUAAGUUAGAGGUGAAAUCCCGAGGCUCAACUUCGGAAUUGCCUCUGAUACUGUUCGGCUAGAGAGUAGUUGCGGUAGGCGGAAUGUGUGGUGUAGCGGUGAAAUGCUUAGAGAUCAUAAAGAACACCGAUUGCGAAGGCAGCUUACUAAGCUACUUCUGACGGUGAGGAACGAAAGUGUGGGGAGCAAACAGGAUUAGAUACCCGUGUAGUC
This 442-nucleotide ribosomal RNA is filed under the name uncultured bacterium. RNAcentral's name for it is "partial 16S ribosomal RNA". It matches the Rfam family "Bacterial small subunit ribosomal RNA", at positions 338 to 795 of the family's 1533-position model. The record is from RNAcentral.